GUGAUAAAGCAAAAGAUAUCAGAAGAUUUUGCGGAAAAGUCACCUUAGCGAGGACCGUCACUUUCUGAACCACAGUGCUUCCAGGUUGACACAUGAAGUGCCCAGAGGUGCUGUUCUAAUGCUGAGUCCUAGAAGAACCUUUGAGAUUUGCUGUUCAAGGUGGCACGGCUGGCCCUCUUGCCGCAGUUAAAACCACAGUCCAGAUGUCAGAUUUUGCACAGAUGUCUGUGCUGACAUAGUCCCUUUAUGAAAAGAUCUAUUUUGUCAUAUGCACUGCUGUGAUGAAUAUAAGUGGUCUUGAUGAUUUCAGCCCUUGUCACAUUGACUUUUCGCUGUCAUGUAUUCACUUGAUUCGCUGGCAGGUUCCCGUGGGAAUUCUUUUCAUGGCAUCUUUGUGUUUUGGUGACACCCAGGUGGAUCCAUAAAGAACCCGGCCAACCCGCAGAGGGAGGGGAGGGGCUGAGCCGUGAGGAGAGCGGGGCCCAAGAACCAUGUCUACGCGGGAGUCCUUUAACCCGGAAAGUUACGAAUUGGACAAAAGCUUCCGGCUAACCAGAUUCACUGAACUGAAGGGCACAGGCUGCAAAGUGCCCCAAGAUGUCCUGCAAAAAUUGCUGGAAUCUUUACAGGAGAACCACUUCCAAGAAGAUGAGCAGUUUCUGGGAGCCGUUAUGCCAAGGCUUGGCAUUGGAAUGGAUACUUGUGUCAUUCCUUUGAGGCACGGUGGGCUUUCCUUGGUUCAAACCACAGAUUACAUUUACCCGAUAGUAGACGACC
This 777-nucleotide small RNA is filed under the name Pongo abelii (Sumatran orangutan). RNAcentral describes it as "processed transcript". The record is from RNAcentral. Lineage: Eukaryota; Metazoa; Chordata; Mammalia; Primates; Hominidae.